RNAcentral lists this ribosomal RNA (484 nucleotides) under uncultured bacterium. RNAcentral's name for it is "bacterial SSU rRNA". It matches the Rfam family "Bacterial small subunit ribosomal RNA", at positions 43 to 524 of the family's 1533-position model. The record is from RNAcentral.
CAGGCCUAACACAUGCAAGUCGGACGGGAUCAGGGAGCUUGCUCCCUGUGAGAGUGGCGCACGGGUGCGUAACACGUAUGUAACCUACCUUUAUCAGGGGGAUAGCCUCUCGAAAGAGAGAUUAACACCGCAUAACAUCACGAUGAAGCAUUUCAAUGUGAUCAAAUAUUUAUAGGAUAAAGAUGGGCAUGCGGGACAUUAGCUAGUUGGCGGGGUAACGGCCCACCAAGGCGACGAUGUCUAGGGGAUCUGAGAGGAUGACCCCCCACACUGGUACUGAGACACGGACCAGACUCCUACGGGAGGCAGCAGUAAGGAAUAUUGGUCAAUGGACGCAAGUCUGAACCAGCCAUGCCGCGUGCAGGAAGACGGCCCUACGGGUUGUAAACUGCUUUUAUACGGGAAUAAACCUACUUACGUGUAAGUAGCUGAAUGUACUGUAAGAAUAAGGAUCGGCUAACUCCGUGCCAGCAGCCGCGGUAAU